Non-coding RNA from Camellia sinensis, 408 nucleotides. NCBI's taxonomy places the organism in Eukaryota, Viridiplantae, Streptophyta, Magnoliopsida, Ericales, Theaceae. The record is from RefSeq and is a predicted model, not a curated record.
UUUUGUGGUUGGGGAAUGUCUCCUUUGCAGUGAUUGAUAAUGAAAACCAUGUUGAACUAGUGGCAGAUGAAGGUGGUUUAUUGGCUGUAGGUAGCAACACUCCUAUUUGAAUGAACAAUCCUAUUUAUUGCAGUUUGGACAUACUAAUCCAUACUAGCCCUCCUUGAGCUUGUUGCUCUUGAGUAUGACCUCAUGCACCUCAGUUCAAGGGUUCAAAUGCUAGUGACGGAUUGCUAAAAUUGGACAUGGUAAUCCUUGUUGCAGUGAAGAGAGAUCUGGUAGGAUUGAAGAACAGAUUGAAAUGCUUCAACAUUAUAGUGAAGACUAUUUUUGGAAGAACAGGUUAUUGGGGAACUUGGCUUGGGCAUACUUACAGCAAAAUAAUUUCAAAUCCUUGGAAGAGCAUUU